RNAcentral lists this long non-coding RNA (1088 nucleotides) under Equus caballus (horse). RNAcentral's name for it is "lncRNA (ENSECAG00000047684.1)". Lineage: Eukaryota; Metazoa; Chordata; Mammalia; Perissodactyla; Equidae. The record is from RNAcentral.
GGGGAUGUUCACCAGCGCAGAGCAGAGAGCUUGCCACCAGACAGGCCGGGCCUGGCUGAGUCAUCCAGGUGCCAGGGCGGGCCCGUCCAGGGCCAAACUCAGAGUGGGGCUCCGCCAGCAGAGCCCGUCUCCGGUAAUAAGCCAGGCAAGGGUUUAUUUGCCUUCUCUCCAUCAUCAGGGAGGGCAGAGCCUGCGCCCAGGCCCACCGCCCGGGGGCCUGUCCUGGGGGUCCCUCCCUCCUCGUGGAAGGUGAUCAACCUCAAUGCCACACACGGUUGGGAUGUCACCUUCCAAAAGGCACGAUUAUCAUUGUCCGAGUUCAGCCUCUAAAUAAACGAACCAGGGCUUCUCAGAAAGUCCUGCUGGGGCUCCGCAAGACACUUCAGGUGGAAAAUUGCGUGGACUUCAAUGAGAUUAGGUCCCAUCGUGAAAAGGUGCCUAGAGAAGACCCAGAGUUCAGCGAGUGAGCCCGUCAGCCGCUGGAGUAGGGAGCAGGCGAGCUGUGCGCAGAGAAGCACGACCAAGGCUCGGGCGCUCUCACCAUCGAGACACCACAACCAACACCCUCCUCGCCAUUGCCAUGGCAGUGGUGGCUCGUGGUUCAAGUGCCAAAGGUGGGGACAGGAAAAAGAUCAAGAGGUCAACAUAGAGGACGAUUGUCCUCGUCAACAUCUGUACUGAGAGUGCCCAUGGCGUUGCCGAGCACUCCUCCCGCGGCGGAGGCCCUGCAGACUGCAUCACCGCCUCCGAGUACUUCCCGCCAGAACCAGGGUGACGGGGUCUGGAAAACAACGGCAAGACCUGCCCCAGACGAGUCUCCAUCUCUGAAGUGGAAGCCCUUCGUUCAAGCCAACCGCGUGGGCAGAGCCUCAUCCGCGCGAAAGAUGCAAAGCAGAGAAAGAGAUGGUGAGAAAACCAGGUCUCAGCGCUCGCCGGGGAGCCGUCAGAGGCAGGAAGGCAGGAGCUGGAGCAGAAGAAAGAAGCCACACAGUGACCGGAGCUGCCAGCCAUUGUCCGACGUGGUAGCCUCGGGCCCCCCGUGGCUAGCGAGUCCUUACAAUGGGGCUAGUUCUAUUGCGGAAUCGAAC